RNAcentral lists this long non-coding RNA (2662 nucleotides) under Coturnix japonica (Japanese quail). Its description in RNAcentral is "lncRNA (ENSCJPG00005001208.1)". The record is from RNAcentral. Lineage: Eukaryota; Metazoa; Chordata; Aves; Galliformes; Phasianidae.
GGACUUUGUGAUGCAUGGGGCAGCCACCCCCAAAGACCAGCGUGACAUGGUGGUGUCCCGGUGCCUUUAGGGGCCAGAGUCCCCGUGCCGCUCACUCUCAGGACAGCGGCUCCGUGAGGAGGCAGCAGCUCCUGGGUGCCUGUAGUGAACAGAUACAGAGAUGGCGAAGGAGGAAGACCAGGAAGCCCGCUCCCAGGCCGAGAAAGAACUGCCGAGCGUGAGGGAACAGCGCCAGGUGCGGGAUGUGCUGGGAGGGAGAGGGAUACCACGGCACCCAAAGCACCGGGGCAGGGGGCACAGCAGCGGGUGGGGUGCCAUGGCGGGCCCUGAGCACCUGUGGCCAGGGCACCGCUCCUCCUGCCCCGGGGCGUUUCCUGGGCACCAGCCGACUCCCAGGACAGCUCUGCACCCGAGGCAGAGAGCAGUAGGACCCAGCUCAGCAGGGCUGUCUGUGUCCGGGAACAGCCUCCUCAUGGGGGCUUUGCCAGGGACGCUGGUGGUAAUGCAGCCACCUCCAUCUCACGCCUCCUUCUCCCCACAGGUGGGCCGCACGGCGCCGCGAGCGGUGCCGCCGGGCAGCCGGAGCCCGGGCUCGUCCCUCCACGGCGUCCAUCUGCCGCCGCUGCCCGGCCCGGAGAGCUCGCGGGCCUCCGGGAGCCGCCGCGCACAGGUAGGGAGCCCGAGGGAAAUGGGAAGGUCUUCCAGAGUGCAAGGAGCAGCCAACCAGCAGGUGGCAGCUGCUGGCGGAGACCGCUCCCAGCAGGACGAGCCUGCUGCAGCCACGUGGCUGCUGGCGUGUGCUGGGCACUGCUGGGGGUGCAGCCGGACUGUGACCGUUCUGCUCUAGGGAACGGGGCGGCAGCGGCCGUGAGCUGGGUGCUGGCCUUCGGGGCCCUGCGGGAGCCCUUCCGACAGGGACCGGUGCGGCGUGAGAGGAAAGGACUCUGCUAACUUCAGGUUUCCACAUGGCUUCUCUUGCAGGCGGACAGAAUGGAGCUCGGGCAGGGACUGCCCCGCAGCAGUGGCUCUGGGGAAGGGAGACGGCCUCUGCCAGCCUUGCCGCCUCUCCCACAGGGGGCGCUGUCACUGCCAGCUGCGCCCCAGAAUGCAGCCACUGCUCGGGGACGAGUCCCCAGAUUCUAUUCAUUGCCACCAAUAGCCUCCGGGCAUUUUCCAAGAGGCAGAGCCAUCAUUACCAGGAUACGGCAGCGAGGGCCGAGGGCUGGCAGGCAGAUCUGUGUCCAUGCACUCCCCCUCAAGCCUGCAGAAAGAACGCCCAAGUUCCUCAGGCUAGCAUAUUGGGUGCGUUUGGGAGCCACACGACCAGGAGCCUGCCUGAAGCCAACACGGCCUGGGCGACGUGCACCCACCAUCACUGUGAGCACACCAGCACAAACAACCCAGGUGCUGGCCCCCAAGGCUGGGAAAGGCCCCGAGGAUGAGACACAAUCUGCUGCCAGUGCUCAGGAAGACACCGGAGAUGCUGACACCAGAGAUGCUGACAGGGUCUCUACUUCAUGUUUCCUGGCAGCAGAGCAGGCAGCAGACAAUGGUGCCAAAGGUGCUGGCACUUCUCAGGCCAUGCUGGAUGUCAAGAGCAGCAAAGAGAGGGCCAGCUCUGCCAGGAGAGGGAGCAGCUUCCUGCCCUGCUGUCAUUGCUCUUCAACCACAAGUGCUGUUCUGACAGAUGAGCAGGAAGGAGGAAAAGACACUGCUGAGAGAGACGCUGUGACAGUGGCAGCCAAAGAUCCAGGGAGCACAUCAUUUGGUGAUGCAGAGGCCCUGCCUCCAGCGUCUUCAGUGCCUGGAAACCUUCAGCAUGAUGUGGACAGCUGGAGAUCAGGGACACAUUCAGCCACAGCAGCAUCUCAGGGGAGGAGAGAGAGCCUCUGCCAACUUGUGUACCAUCCCUGGAUGUCCCUGCAUCCCCUCUCAAGCCUGCACACGCCACACGCAAAUUCUACAACUUGACAUACAUAAGGCGUCCCGUAGCCACCAGACCUAGACCCUGCCAGAAACCAGCAAGUCCAAGGCAGAGUGCACCCACCAGCACUGAGGAAACACCAGCACAAGCAACGCAGGUGCUGGCCCCCCAGGUUGGGAGCAGCCCCACACAUCAGACACCACCUGCUCCCAGUGCUCAGGAAUGCACCAGAGAUCUUGUCAAGGCCUGCAUGUCCCUUCAGUCUCUCUCAAGGCUGCGAAUGAAAUACCCUAGUCACUCUGAUGCUGGAGGCAACAAGCUUCAUGGCCUCCUCUGCUCGCUGUUCUUGAGCUUACAUUCACUCAAGCUCCUGUCCUCCAGCUUCUAUCAGCUCAAGUCACUUGAGAGGCCUUUCUCAUGAUGUAGAAAAGCAGUUCUCGUGAUUCAAUACCCAUGCAGAUUUCCUGUUCUCCACAGCUGUUUAUCAUGUCAGGUACCACUUCUGCCAAGCAGCUCUUCCUUCUUCAUCACUACAUCACAGAUUGCUUCUCACCUAGCAUUUAUAAGACCAUUCAGUACAGGGAUUUCUGAUUUGGUUAAAUCUGGCUUUUUCAUCUGGAACUGAAGAAGCACUAUGUAUUCUCUACAGCAAAGAUAAUACACUUUGCUUCCUCUGUUUCUCUGAUUUGUUUCCAGAAGUACAAUAAAAGUAUUUAGUUUCACUUUACUUCUUUGUCU